This is a long non-coding RNA of Pogoniulus pusillus (Red-fronted tinkerbird), 1440 nucleotides long. RefSeq lists it as uncharacterized. Lineage: Eukaryota; Metazoa; Chordata; Aves; Piciformes; Lybiidae. The record is from RefSeq and is a predicted model, not a curated record. The transcript has 2 exons.
GAGGCUGCCUCUAUAAAAGCCUUGGCCAAGCAGCGCUGCUCUGGUCGCUGUUCUUGCUCUGCUCCUUGGCGGCUGCGGUCUGGAUCUGCUCCAUGUCUCCCUUCAGCGAGUGCUGCCUGCCCCCGGGGGUGCUGUGCCCAGAGCCCUUCGCCCUCACCUCCAACGAGCUCUGUGUCAUCAAGUAUCCAGACACCAGAGUGGACUUCCUGGACCCCGACCUGCCCCCCUACUCUGUCAUCUACCCUGGCCCAACCCUCACCACCUUCCCUCAGCAGACCAUAGUGGGAUCCACUGCCUUGUUUGACAUCAGAAACCUGCUGGGCCCCAGGGGCUCCCCCGGGCUUGGGGAUGUCUGCAGCUCUGGGACAGGAUGGAACUUGGGCUGCAGCUCAGGAGCCUUCUGUGAGACAGGAACCUUCCAGCCUCUUUCUCCUCACCUGUCCAAUCAAUUCUGUUACCUUCCUUGCAGGCCAACCUAAAUCUGGCCCUGGGUAGCUGUGGGUUAAGUGCAAAGCAGAACUGACCACGACUAAGUUUAUGGAUAAUGGAUUAUGGAAUGCUGAGCACUCACAGACCCCAGGGUAGCCACUAAGAGCUUGGCCUCCUGGCACUAGCAACCUGCCUGAGGACCAGGGUGCCCAAAGUGCAAGGGAGGGAAGUGUCACUGCUGGGCUGCUUCACAACCAACUGAAAACUUAAAUUGACAAUGAAUUGGAAAUGAAAUCCACAAUGAAAUGAAAAGGAAAUUCAUAAUGAAAUGGAAAUGAAAAUCACAAUGAAAUGAAAUUCCCAAGGGAAUGAAAGUCAAACUCAAUUCACAGUUAAAAUGAAAUACAUAAUUUUUUAAACAAGAAAUUAAACCCCCCCAAAAAAAGUUGAGUUUCUCAAGAAAGAAGAUUAAAAGAGGCCAAACUUUAUCCUCUUUCUCUUUGGGUGGCUCUCAAUGUGUCUCAAUAAAUUCCAGUCCUUACUCCACCUUUGACUUCUCAGCCUCAAUCUCUCCCCAGCACAAAAUGCUUUCCAAUCAGAAGCUUGAGAGUUUGGGCUCCAAAAUGCACCUGCCAAGGGACUGGGAAUUUGGAUGGGUCUUGAGGCAGCAUUUCCCACCCAACCCCCCCAGACGCAGCUCUCCUUGGGCCUCUCUUUUGAGCUUUCUCUUUCCUGUGCUUGGCUCCUGCUCACCACCUGCUGAUGCUUCCCCAGCUGCCUUCUGCCUGCAGCUCAUCUGUUGCAAGCCAGGGCACAAACACCCAACCAGCCCCGAGCCUCGGGUGCCUGCCAGGGCAGAUCCCUUUGGGCAUCACCUCUGACCCAGGCUGAUGGAGCUGGAGAUGCUUUGUUAGCACCUCCUGAGGCCCUGGAGCUCCUCUCCCCACCUCGUUCCCUGCCUGUGCCUCCAGCUUCUCCUGCUCAUUAAAUGUUAUCCUGCAGCAGACACUU